CUUCAACGAGCCGAGCCACAAGGGCCGUUCGGUGUCCCGCCGCUGGCCGUAGGUGGCCAGCACCGCCUGGGCCUC
RNAcentral lists this antisense RNA (75 nucleotides) under Actinacidiphila yanglinensis. RNAcentral describes it as "Streptomyces yanglinensis ASpks TB sRNA". It matches the Rfam family "ASpks TB sRNA". The record is from Rfam by way of RNAcentral. Lineage: Bacteria; Bacillati; Actinomycetota; Actinomycetes; Kitasatosporales; Streptomycetaceae.